GUAGUGGCAAUAUAACACCUUACUGCAAAUCUCGUUUUCCCUUCCCUUCCACGGCUACGGCGCUCCAAAACCCUAACGUCUCUAUCCAAUCGGUCAAAUUAAAGAGAAGUGAAGAAAAUGAGCAGAGGUGGAGCAGUUGGUGCCGGUGGAGCCAAGGGGAAGAAGAAGGGAGCAACUUUCACUAUUGAUUGCUCGAAGCCAGUCGAGGAUAAGAUCAUGGAUAUUGCCUCUCUCGAAAAGUUCCUCCAGGAGCGCAUCAAAGUCGGCGGCAAAGCCGGGGCUCUCGGUGAUUCCGUCACCGUCACUCGUGAGAAGUCUAAGAUUAACGUCACCUCUGACUCCAACUUCUCCAAACGGUAUCUGAAAUACUUGACAAAGAAGUACUUGAAGAAGCACAAUGUGCGAGACUGGCUUCGGGUCAUUGCUUCCAACAAGGAUCGUAAUGUUUACGAGCUGAGAUACUUUAACAUUGCUGAGAAUGAACGAGAGGAUGAAGAAUAGAAUGAAUCGAAGGCUAAAGGGAUUAACAAUUUUGAAGCCGUCGGCGAUGAUCAAAGGAGUGAGAAAAAGGACACUUGUCAAAUGACUCAAAGGUUGAAAAUCCAAGACAGUAUGGUAAAUGACAAGGGAGAAGGUGGGGUUGGCGUGGCACUAAUAUUGACAAUCACGCCAAGUCACAAAUUAUCGUGGCCACCCAUGGACGGACCUUGCCUUGAAUCCUCAACCUUCAAAUACUAGAACCCACUAGAGACGUUACCUAGAAGUAAGCAAAUAACACCCCUCCACCUCCCUAAUCAUGUGCACUCUCUAUUGUCCAUUCACUUUCAAUGUACUUUCACAUGCCUGUUAUAUCUAUACCUAAAUUUGUCCUAAUCCAAGCACCAUCAUCGUCACCAACUAAGGCAAAGAUAAUUUAUAAUUGAGUGCAAAGUCUAUUGAAUAAUUCCACAAUAG
This 954-nucleotide unclassified non-coding RNA is filed under the name Hevea brasiliensis (rubber tree). Lineage: Eukaryota; Viridiplantae; Streptophyta; Magnoliopsida; Malpighiales; Euphorbiaceae. The record is from RNAcentral.